GAUGAACGCUGGCGGUGUGCCUAAUACAUGCAAGUCGAGCGAACAGACGAGGAGCUUACUCCUCUGACGUUAGCGGCGGACGGGUGAGUAACACGUGGAUAACCUACCUAUAAGACUGGGAUAACUUCGGGAAACCGGAGCUAAUACCGGAUAACAUGUUGAACCGCAUGGUUCAACAGUGGAAGACGGUCUUGCUGUCACUUAUAGAUGGAUCCGCGUCGCAUUAGCUAGUUGGUAAGGUAACGGCUUACCAAGGCAACGAUGCGUAGCCGACCUGAGAGGGUGAUCGGCCACACUGGAACUGAGACACGGUCCAGACUCCUACGGGAGGCAGCAGUAGGGAAUCCUCCGCAAUGGGCGAAAGCCUGACGGAGCAACGCCGCGUGAGUGAAGAAGGUCUUCGGAUCGUAAAACUCUGUUAUUAGGGAAGAACAAAUGUGUAAGUAACUAUGCACGUCUUGACGGUACCUAAUCAGAAAGCCACGGCUAACUACGUG
Molecule: ribosomal RNA, 497 nt
Filed under: uncultured bacterium
Lineage: Bacteria
Description: partial 16S ribosomal RNA
Rfam family: Bacterial small subunit ribosomal RNA
Source: RNAcentral